AACGAACGCUGGCGGCAGGCUUAACACAUGCAAGUCGAGCGCCCCGCAAGGGGAGCGGCAGACGGGUGAGUAACACGUGGGAACCUACCUGGUGGUACGGAACAACACAGGGAAACUUGUGCUAAUACCGUAUAAGUCCUUCGGGAGAAAGAUUUAUCGCCAUCAGAUGGGCCCGCGUCGGAUUAGCUAGUUGGUGUGGUAACGGCGCACCAAGGCGACGAUCCGUAGCUGGUCUGAGAGGAUGAUCAGCCACACUGGGACUGAGACACGGCCCAGACUCCUACGGGAGGCAGCAGUGGGGAAUAUUGGACAAUGGGCGCAAGCCUGAUCCAGCCAUGCCGCGUGAGUGAUGAAGGCCUUAGGGUUGUAAAGCUCUUUCGCCGACGAAGAUAAUGACGGUAGUCGGAGAAGAAGCCCCGGCUAACUUCGUGCCAGCCGCCGCCGUAACAC
Molecule: ribosomal RNA, 450 nt
Filed under: uncultured bacterium
Lineage: Bacteria
Description: bacterial SSU rRNA
Rfam family: Bacterial small subunit ribosomal RNA
Source: RNAcentral